UCAAAUUUCAAGCUCUCAAGAUGCACUAUCAUCGCUCUUAUCAGAUGACGAUUCAAGCUCCUCUGAAGAUUAUUUCCCAAGACAACGAUUCUAGCUCCCAGUAUGAUGUCUAUUGAUUCAAGAUUGGUUAUGGUUCUGUUCAAGGUACUUUCCUUCUUCCGGUUCGUAUCCUCUCACUGAAGAUUAUCUUCCCGAUUCCGUUCUCGAUCCAUCGCGCCUCUACUGAUUCCAUUCGAGGUACUUUCCUUCUUCCCGUUCGUAUCCUCUCAUAUGGUUGUUCAACCCAUUUUCAUCUCCAUCUUCACUUCUGUGUGUUAUGGUUAGGGUUCUGUGUGUUCUUAAAAUCUAAUCAAAAUGGAUUAUAGUUUUCUUUCAAUGGGUUUGCCUCUUUGUCUUCUUGUGUCUUAAAUUUCCAUUGAAAGUGCAUUUAAUUCUCAGUUUACAUGUAUUUUCUUAGAUGUACUUUAACUGAUACUGUCUUCUUGUGGAUUCAGAGGUACACUUUUAUUGCAAAGGUACCCUUUACAUUUGUUGGCUUUUGCAAUUGGUAUAUGGAACUGGUGUAUUCUAACCUAAAAGUUCCACAAUGUAUAGGUUUUAUAGAAAUUACAUAAUUGUUUAUGUAUCCUCUUCUAAAACCCACUUUUUUGCCUUCAAUUUAAGAAUCCUCCAACAAAUCCCAUGAUACAUAUUGUCUUUGCAUAACAUAUUUACUUCCAAAAAAUCUUAUCUUUACUUUUUAUUUGAAAAGUAAUGAAACAACUCUCUACUCUUUUUUUGUUUGUUUCUUUUGGCUUUGAAAUCCUUUGAAUGUUGAAAGAAAGGUCAAAUUGCUUAUGCGUUUAAUGCGUUUCCCCUUCUUGUAGCUGCUUGAAACUGGAACUGAACACACAACAAUGGAAUCCUCCAACAAAGAUGAAUUGAGUAAUUAAUUCUCCCCAUGAUAAUAAGCAAAUUGUAGAACCAUGUAAAGCCUGCAACUGUUGAUGUGAAGCCUGCCAUUUUUUGCAUGUUACGAGGCUCUAUGAUUGUUUGCGGGUGGCAGCUUUCUUCAUCUUAACUUCUUUAUGAUAUUUGUUUUGCUGCUUCCUAGUCAAAGAGAAAUCAAAGGAAAUCAGUGAUAUCCACUUAUGCAUGCUUCUAUCGGAUCCAGCACCAACUCUAAAAAGUUGAUAGCCAUGGCACAAUGGAUAAGAAGGGGAACUCUCUAUGACCAAAUUGCAUCAAUUAAGGCUUAAUUUUCCAGUUAUGGUAUGUUGUUUCAUGGUUUAGUCUUCAACAACUGUUUGAUGGAUGCUGGUUCAUUUAGAUAGAUUGCAUUUGUUAAGAAUUGAGCUGCCAACAGAGGAUAUCAAGUUUCAAUUGGAUAUAAGGAUGGAACCUGGAUGUUUCAGAUACCGCUGGGCUUCUGUUUGUAAAAACGGAUGUAGGAGAUGAUCAUAUCCUUGGGUCAAAAGUAAAAUUUGCUAUCCAUUUGUACCAUCAAGAUGUCUUCAGCUCAAGAUUCUUUUUAUAUUCUAAAGGAAGAAAUUCAAAAUUUUGUUUCAUUUUGUUAUGUUCUCGUUUUCUGUUGCAGCUUUUAGUC
Cynara cardunculus var. scolymus (artichoke) is the source of this 1585-nucleotide long non-coding RNA. RefSeq lists it as uncharacterized. NCBI's taxonomy places the organism in Eukaryota, Viridiplantae, Streptophyta, Magnoliopsida, Asterales, Asteraceae. The transcript has 3 exons. The record is from RefSeq and is a predicted model, not a curated record.